AUACGUAGGUGGCAAGCGUUGUCCGGAAUUAUUGGGCGUAAAGAGCAUGUAGGCGGUUUGGUAAGUCGGUCGUGAAAAUGCGGUGCUUAACGCCGUAUGGCGAUUGAAACUGCUGAACUUGAGUGCAGGCGAGGAAAGGGGGACUCCCAGUGUAGCGGUGAAAUGCGUAGAAAAUGGGAAGAACACCGGUGGCGAAGGCGCCUUUCUGGACUGUGUCUGACGCUCAGAUGCGAAAGCCAGGGUAGCGAACGGGAUUAGAUACCCCGGUAGUCCUGGCCGUAAACGAUGGGUACUAGGUGUGGGAGGUAUCGACUCCUUCCGUGCCGGAGUUAACGCAAUAAGUCCCCCGCCUGGGGAGUACGGCCGCAAGGCUUAAACUCAAAGGAAUUGACGGGG
RNAcentral lists this ribosomal RNA (396 nucleotides) under uncultured bacterium. RNAcentral describes it as "partial 16S ribosomal RNA". It matches the Rfam family "Bacterial small subunit ribosomal RNA", at positions 523 to 918 of the family's 1533-position model. The record is from RNAcentral.